RNAcentral lists this ribosomal RNA (501 nucleotides) under uncultured bacterium. RNAcentral's name for it is "partial 16S ribosomal RNA". It matches the Rfam family "Bacterial small subunit ribosomal RNA", at positions 30 to 523 of the family's 1533-position model. The record is from RNAcentral.
AUUGAACGCUGGCGGCAGGCUUAACACAUGCAAGUCGAGCGGGGGAAGGUAGCUUGCUACCGGACCUAGCGGCGGACGGGUGAGUAAUGCUUAGGAAUCUGCCUAUUAGUGGGGGUCAACAUCUCGAAAGGGAUGCUAAUACCGCAUACGUCCUACGGGAGAAAGCAGGGGAUCUUCGGACCUUGCGCUAAUAGAUGAGCCUAAGUCGGAUUAGCUAGUUGGUGGGGUAAAGGCCUACCAAGGCGACGAUCUGUAGCGGGUCUGAGAGGAUGAUCGGCCACUCUGGGACUGAGACACGGCCCAGACUCCUACGGGGGGCAGCAGUGGGGAAUAUUGGACAAUGGGGGGAACCCUGAUCCAGCCAUGCCGCGUGUGUGAAGAAGGCCUUAUGGUUGUAAAGCACUUUAAGCGAGGAGGAGGCUACUUUAGUUAAUACCUGGAGAUAGUGGACGUUACUCGCAGAAUAAGCACCGGCUAACUCUGUGCCAGCCGCCGCCGUAA